UUCGGUGUAGCAAUACAUCGGGCGGGCGCGUGGCGAACGGGUGCGUAACACGUGGAUAACCUUCCUUCAGGUGGGGAAUAACCCAGCGAAAGUUGGGCUAAUACCGCAUCACAUUACGAGGGCACAUGCUCUUGUAUUCAAAGCCGCAAGGCGCCAGAAGAGGGAUCCGCGGCCGAUUAGCUAGUUGGCGAGGUAAUGGCUCACCAAGGCAAUGAUCGGUAGCCGGACUGAGAGGUUGGCCGGCCACACUGGAACUGAGACACGGUCCAGACUCCUACGGGAGGCAGCAGUGGGGAAUCUUGCGCAAUGGGCGAAAGCCUGACGCAGCAACGCCGCGUGGGGGAUGAAGCUUCUCGGAGUGUAAACCCCUUUCGACCCGGAAGAAUGUCCGCAAGGACUUGACGGUACGGGUAUAAGAAGCCCCGGCUAACUACGUGCCAGCAGCCGCGGUAAUACGUAGGGGGCCAGCGUUGCUCGGAAUUACUGGGCGUAAAGGGUCCGUAGGCGGUGUGGUAAGUCGGAAGUGAAAUCUCUGAGCUUAACUCAGAGGCUGCUUUCGAAACUGCCGUGCUAGAGUGUGAGAUAGGCGAGUGGAAUUGCGGGUGUAGCGGUGAAAUGCGUAGAUAUCCGCAGGAACAUCCGAGGCGAAAGCGGCUCGCUGGAUCACAACUGACGCUGAGGGACGAAAGCUAGGGGAGCAAACAGGAUUAGAUACCCUGGUAGUCCUAGCCCUAAACCAUCAGGACUUGGGGUUUGCCCUGUACGGGGCAAGUCCCGUAGCUAACGCGUUAAGUCCUGCGCCUGGGGAGUACGGCCGCAAGACUGAAACUC
Molecule: ribosomal RNA, 831 nt
Filed under: uncultured Actinomycetes bacterium
Lineage: Bacteria; Bacillati; Actinomycetota; Actinomycetes
Description: bacterial SSU rRNA
Rfam family: Bacterial small subunit ribosomal RNA
Source: RNAcentral